Small RNA from Treponema maltophilum ATCC 51939, 96 nucleotides. It matches the Rfam family "TD-2 RNA". From Rfam's summary of the family: non coding RNA found in Treponema denticola Lineage: Bacteria; Pseudomonadati; Spirochaetota; Spirochaetia; Treponematales; Treponemataceae. The record is from Rfam.
GCCGACAUGGAUGUCGGAGAAGCUUUAAAUAUGCGAGUUUAUGCGGUGUAUAAACUCGGAGUAAGAAUUGUACAGGACGUAUAAUUCUUACUCGCC